The sequence is an intron RNA, 345 nucleotides long. It matches the Rfam family "Group I catalytic intron". From Rfam's summary of the family: Group I catalytic introns are large self-splicing ribozymes. They catalyse their own excision from mRNA, tRNA and rRNA precursors in a wide range of organisms. The core secondary structure consists of 9 paired regions (P1-P9). The record is from Rfam.
UUAGUUGCGUGUCUAUUGUGCGCUAGUCGCGCCGUUCCGCGAACUGCACGGGAACGGCGGCGGCAACAUCAUCGAAUUGCUGGGAACCCUCGAUAGGCCGGAGGUACUAAAGGCUCGGGGAAACCCGGGUCAAAUCGAGCUUAGACGCCCGCAGUAAAAACCCUUCGGAUAGAGGCAAUCAGCAGCCAAGCGCCUAAAGCCGCGUGUAUUACAGUGUAUUACAGUUGGGUAUGCAUGUAUUACAAGCGGUCACGGUGAAGGUCCAGAGACUAAGUGGUGAUGGGUGUCGGCGCGGUUGACCGCGCCGAUGCUUAAGAUAUAGUCCGCCCCUCUUGAGAGAGAGCU